UACGAGAGGCCCAAACGUUAUUCGGAAUUACUGGGCUUAAAGAGUUCGUAGGCGGCAUGACAAGUAGGGUGUGAAAGCCCUCGGCUCAACCGAGGAAUUGCGCUCUAAACUGUCGUGCUAGAGGAAGCUAGAGGUGAGCGGAACUGAUGGUGGAGCGGUGAAAUGCGCAGAUAUCAGGAGGAACACCGGUGGCGAAGGCGGGUCUCUGGGCCGUAACUGACGCUGAGGAGCGAAAGCGUGGGGAGCGAACAGG
This 253-nucleotide ribosomal RNA is filed under the name uncultured bacterium. RNAcentral's name for it is "partial 16S ribosomal RNA". It matches the Rfam family "Bacterial small subunit ribosomal RNA", at positions 524 to 776 of the family's 1533-position model. The record is from RNAcentral.